AUUUUUUAAAAUUGUAAUUGUUCAGCUUCAUUGUCAAUACUUUUUGUUACAUAUUGGUGGUACUGAACAUAUAAGCCAAAUAUUUUACUGGCAAUUAACUAUAUUUUACAACUAGGAAUGCUUCUGAACUAACCUGAUUCAGACUUCU
Molecule: non-coding RNA, 148 nt
Organism: Pseudonaja textilis
Lineage: Eukaryota; Metazoa; Chordata; Lepidosauria; Squamata; Elapidae
Source: RefSeq, a predicted model, not a curated record